ACUCUUUUACAAUGGUGUGACGUCGCUGUAAUACAUGUAGAAUACAUGCAGUAUCUGAUACGUCCUCUAUAUGAGGACUACAUAUUAAAUUGAUUUUUAGGACAGGGAGACGGAAGAGGGGCUUGCUCCGUCCACUCCAUGCAUCGACCUGGUAUUGCAGUACCUCCGGGAAUGGUACACAUUUU
This is a small nuclear RNA of Pygocentrus nattereri (red-bellied piranha), 185 nucleotides long. RefSeq annotates it as U2 spliceosomal RNA. The record is from RefSeq and is a predicted model, not a curated record. The transcript has a single exon. Lineage: Eukaryota; Metazoa; Chordata; Actinopteri; Characiformes; Serrasalmidae.